GUAUAGCUUAGUGGUAGAGCAUAUGCUUAGCAUGCCUAAAGCUCUGGGUUCAAUUACCAGAUACA
Molecule: transfer RNA, 65 nt
Filed under: Neotoma lepida (desert woodrat)
Lineage: Eukaryota; Metazoa; Chordata; Mammalia; Rodentia; Cricetidae
Rfam family: tRNA
About the family: Transfer RNA (tRNA) molecules are approximately 80 nucleotides in length. Their secondary structure includes four short double-helical elements and three loops (D, anti-codon, and T loops).
Source: Rfam by way of RNAcentral